AGCAGAGCUGGGUCUAGAACCCAGGAGUUCGAAUACAAUCCGAGGCUCAUAUCGAGACUUUAAGUUGUCCGAUUCCGAAGUUUAUUUGCUUUUUUCCCUCUUUUUGCCUUCCAUUCUCCCUCACCCCCGUUCUUUUAGGGGAAUGUUUGAGCGAGACUUCAAGGUCAAAAGAUGGAGUCCCUAGGGGCUGAGGGUCUCCAUCAUAGGCGCCCCAGGCAAGGUUGGAGAAAAACUAAACAGAAAGCCCCUUCCGCCUACGUUGGCAAGAACGGGAACCCAGCUCCACUUGGUUUCCGCCCAAAGUCUUUAGAACAGGAGCUGCCAAGCCGUAAGGAUUUCCGAAUCCGAUUUCCCCGAAACCGUAGAGACACAGCUUGGACUCGGCAAAGGCCGGGGCCCCGACCCCUGCGCGCGCACUGGCACUCUCCAAAGUUGCCUCGCCUUCCUGUGGCCCUCCCGGGAAUUAUAACCCCCGGGUGCCAUGUCCUAAUUGGUCUCGGUAGCAGGCUCCGGGGUGCGCUUUCGGGGGCUAGGGGACAGCGAAAGACUCAGCCACAAAGGCCGCAGUCUGGUCCUAAAACUAGCCAGUGGCGUCACACUGCGCCGCUCAUCCCUUCUGCGGCAAGCGGAAGGGUCAGAGUCGGUCUGCAAAGAACGAGCCUUUGGCCUCAAAAUCCUACAUUGAGGCUUUCUCACCCCUUCGCCCGGUGGGAUAAAGGUGAAAGAGACGGUUGGGAUUUAAUAAGGGGUAGGGAUGAGAAUCUGGGAAGUUAAAAUGAAGUAAGUGCAUUUAUUGGAAAUUAGGAGUCCCGUGGUUCCGGGAGCUCAAACCGAAUGGUGUUUUUACCGCUGCCUAACGCUAGAGAGAGCCCUCCAUCAAGGUUUGAAACCGUCAACCCCUUUCUCGCCCCUCCCCUCCUUCCCAUUGACCUAGUUUGGCCAGAGCCUCCCGAUUUGGAGAAUGCCUUCCGCCCUUCCCCCCUCCUCUCCAGCCAGAGAGGCUACAGAGGCUGUUGGAUUAUUGGUAAUCUAAUAACUCCAAUAACCCGCUGAAAAAUCCAAAGGGAAAUCUGAAAGUGUAAAGCACUGUUUAGGGACAAGGACAAGGAAUUUUAAUAAGGCUGCAACUGCCGUAGUGAACCCCGCAUCAGGGGCCCUGCCGUGGGGCUCCCGGUCUCAGCAGUGUUUCAGCCAACUAGCUGCACGGCUGCAGACACCACCGUGGUCCGGCGGCAGGGGGUGAGGUCAAAUCGCGGAGCUGUUUUUAUUCUUGGGGGAAAACACUCUUCGCCCUCUUGGCUGGGGAACGGGAGGGUGCAGGAGACGACAGUAAAUAAAAGCGAAUUUGAUAACGCGAUGGCCUCGACAGCCGCUUUGGAUAACCGAGGUGUUCGGGGACAUUGUGUCCUGACUUUCAUUUCUAUCACGUUUCCUGCCAACAGUGCUCUUGCAAGCCUGCAAGCUUCUAGGAAAUGCAAUAAAACAGAGGGAUGUGUUUUAUCAUCAAGAUCUGAAGAGGAGUUGCAGAAGGGACGUUCCCCAUACGCUCAGCGCGAGACAGCCUUCCAGAAGGGCCCGAAGACAAUGCCAGCAAAUCGCGUCCCGGAGCAGAGAUCCCUCGGCCGUCCUGGCUGGACUGGGCUCAGCCUUUGCAAAAAGGCUGGCGGGGGAGGGGAGAAGCAUGAUCUCCUCAAGCAAACAAUGCCUUUAAAAAUCCGAUCUGGAAAGAAGUCAGCCAAGGUCCUUAUUCACGUUAAUGAAGAUGGAAGGCACUAACUGUCCUUGGAAAGCGAUGAGUCAAACUUGACCGCGCUUCAAACUCGUUCCCAGAUUCGUUUCCAGUCCGAACAGAGGCGCGUUUCUCCGACGCGGCCUCCGACGGCUCCCGCAGUGGGAGGGGCCGAACUCGAUCCCCGCCGACCCGGGCGGGGGCGACGGCGCUGUCUCCCCCUGCAGAGCGCGCCUGCUGCCGCUAGGGGCCGCCAGCAUGCGGACGCGCGUUUGCCAUCUUAAGUCACGAGCUCGGAGAAAGAAAACUUUACGGAGGAACUGUUGUGGCACAAAUUCUGGCCUAUCCACAUGACCCCCACCCCCUCACACACACACACCCGGUUUCUCGCCAGGCUACUAUGCAGAGGAUGUUAGGAAGGGGAAGAGAGCGAUUUCAGAAUCGAGGCUCGCCCUGCAAGUCUUUGGUCCAGGCCUUAACCCCCCUCUUAACACGCAAACCCCCGAGCUCCGAGACCCACACCCUUCAGCACCAUCUGGGCUUUUCGUGUCAUUACCGAAAAUCUUAGGCCAUAUUUUCUUUAAAAAAAAUCCUCCAAGACUGCUGGGGAGCGGUUUCCAAUGAACACUGGCAACAAAGGUGACCUAAGAGGUUAAACUCAUGGUUCUGGCAGCCGCUCCUUUCUCAUAAAUACUUCUAAGGAGCUGAGAUAAACCCGCCUUUGGCUUUCAGUCACUGACAUGAAAUUCAGAAGCUUAAAAUCUGGUCCUGGUUAAGUCACUAACUCACCACUAACAAGCCUCCUCGUCGGGCCUGUUUCCUCAACUGCAAAACAGAGUUGUACGUCCCAAAGCCCCUGAGCUCCUAGGUGGCAUCCUUCCACUACCGACUUCCCCUAAGAGGGGCCACAGGGACAGGAAGAUGGUGUGUUCGAAGCGGGUUAUUUGUGGUUUUUCUUAGUGCAAAUAGAUGCUCAUCGCUGAGUGAUGGGCAAGCAGCGAGGCCUUUCUGAUUUUCAUCCCUCUUGCCAAAACUUUGGAGGUUGUAUGCCAUCCCCAUUGGAGGGUGCCCUCCUUCUGUCAGUCCUAGCAUCUGGUCAGGGUACCGCCGCCCGGGAGGUGGAACGGCGAGCCCACCGCCCAUGGCCGCGAACUCGAUCUCAGCCCACCGCUAGGUGGCAGGCCAGCCCGUCCGAGAAUCGCCGCGCGGCCGCAGCUUCCACACCGAUCCCUACCCGCCCCUCUUUAUUUUCUGUCUGGUGGGGGCGAGGGUUGGGGGUGUGAUUGCCUCUAAAAGCAAAGCUAGAAAACAUUUAAUUUAGUGUAUGUAAUUCCGUUCCUCCCGAUGCUCCCGCCUCUAGCAACCACAACGCGGUAUCUGGAGCUGGUUUCAUGUAUCAUAAGUUGAUUUCUCCCCCAGCCUCCGAAAAGCUUUAUGUACUGGGAAGGGAAAGAAGGUGCACUUGUCUUCAAAAGGCAGAAUGGCACUCGACAGUAUUGGCAGAGAUUCUUGCCAAACACUGGUCAUCCAGCAAAGAAAGUCGGGAAUAAACUCCUGAUCUUCUCGGAGGAAAGGGGCGCUGGGGGCCGAGUGCUGGAUCCCACUCAGGCUCACUGCGCCUGGCAAAGCGGGGGAGUGGGGAGUCGGGUAUGGUCUUUUGGUGAAGUUGUGGGUCUCGGAGUGGACAUCGGGAGGGUUGGGAGGGGCCGUUCCUGGUUUCCACUGGGGCAAAGAGAAACCAGCCAGUUCUGCCACCACGCUGCACCCUCGCUGUGCUCGCGGCGGCAGCGGCGGUCCCACUUGUUGCGCAGUGCUGGAAACCGGCACGCGCCAUUCGAUGUUGAUUCACAGAGGGCUACAGACCAGCCUACCAUUGCUCCACGCCAUCCACAAACCUCCUCAACACACCCCCUACACAUACGUCCUGCCACCGCCGGCAAAACUACAGCAUUUCCAGCCACUAUGGUGUUUUACACCAAAACAUCCCUCACUAUCUCGGUAUCAGACAGGCAGCAGAAUUAAGAUGCCCUGAGAAGUCAAUCCAAGGGGAAGGCCGGGCUACCUCCGCCUGGAGAACUCUUCUACUUAAAAUCAACCAGGCACCCUCCCCCCACCAAAAAAAAAAACCUUAGAACCACGUUGCCUAUUAUAACACCAUCCUAGUUGGAAAGCAACAUUUUUCUUCCCUACUUGAUAAACUUCAAAGUCCUUUUUAUCCGUUAGUUUUAUCUCCCCUAUUUUUUUUAAAUCUCUGGGGGAAAAAUGUUUCAUAAGUUCACUUCCCAAUAUUUUUCAAAAAUUGACUUUUGCCAAUAGUUUCACCCACCGAGGGGUGGCGCUGCUGCACCGCCUCCUCUAUAUCUCUUAAGUUUUUCACAACAAAGUGGGUUGUGAGUGUCAUUACCCUGUAGGGGAUAGAGGGAAGGAAGGGUUUUGACAUCUAGCCGUGGCUACCAUUUACUCAACCAAUAACUGGAACUCUUCAAGGGCUCAGCAAACGACAACUUAAGCAUUUAGAGUCCCAUCCCUAUCCACCAAACCCAGAAUAAGUUAGUCUUUUCAAGAAAGCAUUGGUAUAAAACCCUUCAAAACUGAAAAGAAGAAAGGGGCAAUUGGAGAAUUCCCACUUUUUCUGGCUGUCUCCUUCAAGUCGCCCAGUUUUUAUGAACAGCAUCUAGCCUUACUGUCACUAUCAACAACCCUUAAAACUAGCCAAUGCUUCGGCCUCUAGUAUUGGAAAGUCUUCCAAAUAGGAUACUGGAAACUUCUAUUUAUAAGCUUGGGGUGGCGGGCGGGGCGGGGAGGUGGAGAGAGAGUUGCCAUCUACAGGUUUCUAUUUUGGCCUGAAGACUCAACUGCAGUCAUUAGAGUAAGGGAAUGCCCAUCUCCUGGUACUUGUUCGCCAUUUCCUCCUCCCCCAGAGACAAAUAUCUUUUCGUCUUUUUUAAAAAAGUAUAUAUUUUAAAGCAAGAAUGUGAUUUCAUCUCUCUUCUUUGAGCUCAUGUUUGCUACCUCCAGGAAUAGCGUGUGGACUAGGGCCAGAUGAACUUCAACUUGGGCUGCAGAUUUACGAGGUUCUGUUCUAGUGCCAAAGGCUCUUGGUAGUAAAUAGUGAGCAAAAUAGAUACCUGUCUCCUGAUGGAUCUUGCCGCCCCCUCUUUUUUUUUUUAAGUUAUUUAUUAAAACCACACACACCUUGCAAAGAAAAAGGGAAACUGGCAGUCUCUGUAGAGGAAGCCGGUGGCAUCGCUCAGAGCCACAAACUGUAUUUCUAAACAGCCCUUUCCCUGGUUCCCUCUCUCCUGCCCCACUUUUUUUAAAAUCCAGACUGUAAAAAACACAUCUACUGACACUCACUUUACUUUAAAAAAAGAAGAGAAAAAGUAAAGCGUUACAAGACUUUCCUCCUGGAAACUAUAAACUGAAAAAAAAAUCCAUAAAAGAUUAAAUCCUGGCGGGUUGUGGGGUGGCGGGGGCCGGCGGGGAGGGGGCGCGGAGUGGAGAUUGGCUCUCUGAGGUGGUCAGGGGCCCUGUGACAGCUUGGGACUUUCAGCACCUGGUUUGGGGUCAUUUAUCUGCUCAACUGUCAGGACCCCCCACCCCCAAACCCCAGCCACCAACACAACCAUCGUAGAAGGGAACACAACACAGAGGGUCUUUUUUCAUUUUUUUAAAAAAUCGGUUUGGUUGUGUUUUUGUUUUCCAUGGGGGAGCUUUAAAACUCAUUAUUGCAACACUAGUUCCAUUUUUCGCCAGGGUUCCAAUAACACGGCAUCAUAAAGGCAACGCAACCCACAGUUCUCAAGACAUUUACCACGGUCACUACAUCCGGCAGCGGGGUGGCCCCUAGCUCCUGCUGCCCCCCCGCCCUUUCUCCCCGCCCGCCCCCGGAGCUCAGCCGAUUUCUGAGGCUCCAACUCUACCCACUCCCUCCCCGGGCCGCCGCCGCCGCGCCUUCCCCCAUUCUUACUCCCUCGAGGAGAGCCACAGGUUGCAAAUCCAACCAACCUCGCAAUCUAUUUUUGCAAAAUCACUCACAAAGAUCUCCCUUUCGCGCCCGCGCCCGCUCCUCCCGCGCCGGGUCCCCUCAGCCACGGCCACAAAGUGCCCUUCUCUCCUCCUGAGUCUUGCACAUAAGGAACGCGGGCUGGGGCUCUGUUCGUCUUUCUCCUCGCCCAAGGUAAGGACCUCGGGAAUCUGAAGCCUGGCGUCCACUACGCUCAGGCCCGCAGUUCCCUUUUUACAGAGCUUGCACCAUGGGAAAAAAUAAAAUAAAAUUUAGGAAAGGGAGGCAACAGCCAUUGGGAGCCAACACAGAGUCACGCAGCGCCCAAAAUACAAACACCGCAGCGGCCAGAAAUCCCGCCACCUUUCUCGUUCUCCCAGGCUGUCCUGUCGAGGUUCCCUGAGUCCCCCCGCACACUGAAAGGCAUCGCAGGUGCAGUGCGCACCCCUUUCCCACCCACCCCAAGAAGCCCUGUCCCGCCAUCAGUCUCUCUCCUCGGGAUGAGCAGGGAGAGCGCGCGGAGGUUCCCGACUCCCUCGACUACAACCAAGAAAGAAUAAUUUUCAAAGUGUUCAACAUCCCCGCCCCCAAGCUCCCCAAAACACAGGGGCAGGGAACACCAAAACACUCGGCUCUCAUUAGGAAGAUCACGGCUCUGAAAGGAAAUAGUAGACACGAUACUUCAUCUCAUCUGGAUUUAUGACCAAAAAAACAAAAACAAAAACCCAAAGAGUUCGCUUGCAUUUUUUCCUUCCAAAUCUCGGUUCGGCUCGAAGGCAGGGAAUCUAAAAGACCGAGGCCGAUGGAAGAGAGCCAGCGGGGCGAGCGAGCGGGCAGCCUCCCUUUUUGCCUCCCGGAGUUACCCAGAAGGACAGGGGAAGGGAAGGAAGAAGAGGCGAGGAAAAAGAGGAGGGAGGGAAGCGGAGGCCAGGAGCGACGGAGCAAGGAAAGCAGUUUGCAAGCGAGAAAAGAGGGAAAAAACACAGCCGCACGAAUCCAGAGAGAUCACAAGCCGUACGCAAGCAGCAGCAGAAAGAGCGAGAGCGCGAGCGCGCGUCCUCUCCGCGGUCUGGGGCCAGACAGCCCCCAGACUAGCCCGAAUCACCCCCCAAGCACUGUCUCGUCCUCUCUGCUCCGGCCGCCCCCUAAUUCCCCUCCUUCCUCUCCUCCACCUCCUUUCCAAAAACCAAAACAACACAAGGGAGGGUGGCAAAAGCCUCCCCAAACCGGCCGAUUCACUCAAAGACAACAAUAAUAAUAAUAAAUACAUAACAAUCUAUAUCCUAUGGUGGGAGAGACGUGGGACUAAUCUUCGGCAUUUAUUUUAACACCUGACAGCUAGAAUAAAUAAAUAUAUACAUUUAUAUCAAUAGAUACACAUAGAAAACUUGGAGCCAAAGCAUUUGGCAAGAGCGGAAAAAAAAAGAAUUAAAAGGUAAAAUAAUGAUCAUGAGCAGCGGCGGCGGCAGCGGCACCAGCGGCAACAGCGGCGGCGGCGGCAGUAGCAGCAGCAGCGGCGGCAGCAACAGCAAUAAUCACCUGGUGUCCGGCCUUUCCUAGAAACUUCUUGCAUCACCACUUCUAAGAACCCC
This 7327-nucleotide long non-coding RNA is filed under the name Homo sapiens (human). RNAcentral describes it as "non-protein coding lnc-RTP4-6:1". The record is from RNAcentral. Lineage: Eukaryota; Metazoa; Chordata; Mammalia; Primates; Hominidae.